CCUACGGGAGGCAGCAGUGGGGAAUAUUGCACAAUGGGGGAAACCCUUAUGCAGCGACGCCGCGUGAGUGAAGAAGUAAUUCGUUAUGUAACGCUCUAUCAGCAGGGAAGAAAAUGACGGUACCUGAGUAAGAAGCCCCGGCUAACUACGUGCCAGCAGCCGCUGUAAUACGUAGGCGGCAAGCGUUAUCCGGAUUUACUGGGUGUAAAUGGAGCGUAGACGGCAGUGCAAGUCUGGAGUGAAAGGCGGGGGCUCAACCCCCGGAGUGUACUUGAAACUGUACGGCUGGAGUGCAGGUGAGGUAAGUGGAAUUCGUAGUGUAGCGGUGAAAUGCGUAGAUAUUGGGAAGAACACCAGUGGCGAAGGCAGCUUACUGGAAGGUAACUGAGGUUGAGGCUCGAAAGCGUGGGUAGCAAACGGGAUGAGAUACCCUGGUAGUC
Molecule: ribosomal RNA, 440 nt
Filed under: uncultured bacterium
Lineage: Bacteria
Description: partial 16S ribosomal RNA
Rfam family: Bacterial small subunit ribosomal RNA
Source: RNAcentral